Non-coding RNA from Paramuricea clavata, 395 nucleotides. Lineage: Eukaryota; Metazoa; Cnidaria; Anthozoa; Malacalcyonacea; Plexauridae. The record is from the annotation of a GenBank genome assembly.
UGUUGUUUGUGCUUAUACUUAAUUAGCGAAAUAUAACAACUACAGUAUACUAUUGGAUAGUGCUAACAUGCCCCAUAGUGCAUUUCGCGCUUAGAGGUCGACAGGAAAGUUUUUGACUUUACGUCAUUCGCGUCUUCAAUCUCAGGGAAGUCCCUUCGCGACGAUGAUGAAUUCUUGAGGUAUUUAAACGUUCUAUAAAAGGUAUUAUUCAUUAUAUAAACGUUCUCUGGUCUUCUGUGCUAACAGUAUAUAUUUUUUGGUGGUGAACUCAUCAAUUUACUGUUAUUGUUAACGUUAACUUUGUAACCAGCGGCCUCGUCGAUUCCCUACUGAGUGAACUUGAGCAUACAAAUAAGGUCAAACAAGUGAAGUAGCAGGUAUGAAACUUACUGUGG